GGAACAGGGCAGGCUGGAGACCAGCCCUGUUGGCUUCCCCACCUUGGGGUUGUGUGUCCUCAGCUGGAGUGGGGACACUGUCCAGCCUGCCAGUGUGGGCGUCUGAGCCUCAAAAUAGACUCCCUUUCUCCAGAGCUGUGGAUUCCCCUGGGCUGAGAGGAUGUAAACGGGCAGCAGCCCAGGGUCCUGGUCACAGGUCAGGCCCGGCAGCUUCCUCCAGGGUCACCCCCUCUGCCCACCAGGGGAGUUGGAAUUUGGUUCCAUCUGCAGGGUGCUGAUGUGGUUCAUGCUCCAGGGAACCAGGAAGCUGAGUCUGGGUAGGUGCUUGGAGCUGGGAUCACCGUUAGGAAGCUCAUCCCCAUUUUACGGAAAGGAAAUCAAGGCUCAGCGGAAGCUGUGUGCCCAGCCCUGCACCAGGGAGAGCAGGGCCAGUUUCCUCAGGUGCUACAGGCGCUCUGCUGCAGUGAGAAGCAGCCAGACAUCAGAGAUGCUGACGGUCCCACCAGCCCGUGGCGGGAGGGGCUGUGGCCACGGUGCUCCCGGUGCUGGGGCUGAGGCCUCCACAUCUUGCAGAGCUCAGGCUGCUGAGUGGGCUUGAUUGCUUCAAGUCGUGUGUGUGUCUGGCUGGCUCUGGCCAGCUCCCUGAUAGCUCCUGGGGUUGCCUGGAGCCCACUGGCUGCCCAUGGCUGGACCCCAGCCUGUGGGGGACCCCCUGGUAGGCAGGGAGACUAUGCACUUUGUUCACAUCUGAAGGGAGGAGGCAGGUGUACCCUGUGCCUCCCCCUCCUCCCAUGCUGGAGAGAGUGGCCCUGCGUCCCACUCCUGCGCUGGCUUCUGUUUCAGAGGCUGAGGGGAUCUGGCGGUGGAGCGCUAGGAUCAGACGCCCCCGCAAUGACCAGGCUCCCCCAGCUCCCCCGUCUCCAGAGUCGUGUACAACGGCAAGAGGACCAGCAGCCCCCGCUCCCCACCCAGCAGCAGCGAGAUCUUCACCCCAGCCCACGAGGAGAACGUCCGCUUCAUUUACGAAGCCUGGCAGGGCGUGGAGCGAGACCUGCGAAGCCAGGUGCCGGGCGGCGAGCGGGGUCUGGUGGAGGAGUAUGUGGAGAAGGUCCCUAACCCCAGCCUGAAGACCUUCAAGCCCAUCGACCUGAGUGACCUGAAGCGCCGGAGCACGCAGGAUGCCAAGAAGUCCUAGAGCGCCCAGCGCCCCUCCCCGGCCUCUGGAAGAUCAGGGUGCGAGGUGUCGGCUCCCUCCUGUCCUGUGGCCCUGCUCCUGGGAUGGGGGUGUCUUGCUCCAGCGGGCUGCAGACCGCAGCACCGGUGUGACUGACGGCUGAGGCCUCUCUCUCCUUCCCAAGUCCCCUCCUUCCUCCUUGGGGGUCUCAGGCUGCCCCCAUCAUGGGGGUCUGGGCCCUCCCCACCCUCCUGCCCUCCCCCAGCCACCUGGCUGUGUUUUUGAAGCUGCCUGGCCCCCAGGGACCCUGGCCUGCCCUCUUUCCUCUCCCCUCACCCUCCUGUCCUUGGCCACUGCAGAAUCAGGAGGGGAGCAGAAGGAGCCUCUGCUGCCCCCCAGGCUGCUGGGACUGGGCUGGUUUUGUCCUUGAAAUGGCCAGGAUACAGGACAAGGGCAGCCCCACCCCAUCCAACUUGGGACCCCCCCACAGACCCUUGCUGCUCCUGUGGCCUGGACACGCUGGGGAGCUUCUCACACCUACCCCUACUGUCCAGCCUGGCCCGUUCCCUGAAUCAGCUUCAAGAUGGCACCAGCUCUUUGGGCCUAGGAUACUGCCGGGCCCCCCAAAGGGGGUCCCCAGCAGCCAGGCCUGGCCUCCUGGUAUCUGUGGUCAUAGUGGCCCAUGGGUAGGGGCACCCAGGCUGACCCUGAGGUGCUGCUGCUGGGUCUGUCUUGGCUCUGGGGUAUGCUGGGAGGGUCACCAGGUCCCUUUUUCUUCCUGUGCCCUCUGAAAGCCAAGUGUCUGUGUGGCUGUGGAGCUCCAGGGUCUGUUAAUAAAGGCAGCGGCACUGG
Molecule: long non-coding RNA, 2026 nt
Filed under: Macaca mulatta (Rhesus monkey)
Lineage: Eukaryota; Metazoa; Chordata; Mammalia; Primates; Cercopithecidae
Description: lncRNA (ENSMMUG00000000258.4)
Source: RNAcentral